CAACAUCAUAAUAAUUUAAUUUAUAAACAGGGCUACAUUCUGUCACUGCAAAUAAUGAAUCACUGAAGUCUUGCUCAUAUUUUUUGUAAAAAAUACAGCGCAACUCUGAGAUGCAAACAAUGUCACCUGUUUUGAACUUAAAAGCAAUUGCUUUCUUUCUACGAAAGGGAAACAAACCAUAAAGAUUUUUAAAGACUUCAAAUGUGUUGUCUAAUGUGACGUGUAAUGGGCUCAUGCAUAUGCUUUUAUGUUAGCUAUUAUUGUAACUCAUUACCAGGGGGGUAUGCCAUCAAGAAAAUCCAGGCUUAUUCCAAUAAGUCUGGCUAAUUUAAGUGAGAUUUCCGUUCCAUUACUGUGGCUUAUAGGAGUCCCUGCUCAGCAACCAAGGUAACUUAUACCUCUGAACUAGCCUGCUCCUUCGCAGGCUAACUGUCAUGCUUAAUUUAGCUGUGUUUCUAAGAAUGUCCAGCAGGCGGGAAGAGAACCCAAAAAGACUGUUCCGUGUAUUUUCUCGCUCGCAUCCCUUUUGUCCUGUCCGUGUUCGGAAACAUAAAAUGUUUCUGUCAUUGUAACCAAGCAUUAAUUGACAUGUUUAAUUUAGUUCGAAAGAACAUAUCAAUAGAAAUAAACAAGCUAAGAAAAGCAUGUCUUACUACUUUCACUGUCUUCAAAAGCCAAUAGUUAAUUGAUAUAGGCCUAGACUAUGGCUGAAUCUCAAAUCACGGUAAAGUACUUACUGUUUAGUAUAUAGUAAGCUAUUAGCCAGUGAGCAAUCACUGGCGCGCCGCCGGCGGCUAUAAUGUCGUACAGCCAGCGGGCCACCAGCUUUUGCCGCUUUUCUCCUGAUCUCAAUUUGCAUAAGCUAAUUUGCAUCUCAGGCGGCUUUCCACCAGCGUCCCGACUGCGUUACGCUGGCGGCUAGCCGCAGAUAAGAGGACGUGCGCUUUAGUCUGCUGUAUCUGCUUGUGUUGCCAUUUUCUUCCAGCAGAGAUGCUAUUGUACCCUUUUCAUUCUUGUACUGAUUAUUUGAUUUAUUUUAAUAUUGUUAACCAGAAUUUUGGUCAACAUUAGUAGUUUAUUAAAUAAAAUAGACUUUGACUAUUGUACUAUUUCUUGUGUAAAGGACCUUUGUGUAGACACAUCUCGCGAUUGCUUACCAUAAUAUUUUCACGAACUAAUGGCCAUUUUUCACUACAUGGUACCAGCUCAACUCGUCUAUAGCCUCGACUUUAAUGCUUCAUGGGGACCGUUCUUUACUGUGUUUAAACACCCGUGUGUCCGUAGAUGGCACUAUAGUAGCAAAUUGCACAUGUGAAAGGCAAGACCAUGAGGCUAUGGGUAAGACAGCCAUUUGGAUUCCACGCUGUUGUACCGUGCAAACUAGAACAUUCAUUUUAGCGACUUGGUUCUUUUGUCAACUCUUGUUCAAAGUGUAUAAGCUAUAUGCUCUGAAUUGGACAAUACAACAUGUGGAUUUACAAAUUGUUUUACUACAAUUUGAUGAACUCCCGAAACAAACGAAGAUCAAGGAUUUUUUGGACAUCAGACCGCCGAGUCACCUAUAUAGCUAUGGUGAGUUCUGUUUCUGCGAUAUUAUAAAUAACUAGCGUUAAGUGUUGUUAGGUUACUGAGUAAGAACUUUAUUACUGUUUUGUAUUAAACAAUGACUGUUUGCAAUAUUAUAUUAACAUUCAAAUUCUUUAGUCAAGUUACUGGUAGCUGAACGCAAGUUCUAAACCAUUGGCGGGGAAACAAGUUAUAGAAACUGAGCUUGAAAAAAAACACGUUGUCCUGAGAUGAAAUACCUACAGUGACCAUUGUUUCUUCUUGUGUCCCCAAGUUUGGUUGCUUACUAUUUUUUGUUUCUUCGUUUAUCCUGAAGUUCGGAUGUUUUGUGCUUCUUCGCAUAUCAACAGUUGAACAGGUGAUGAUGUUUUCUGUAGUUUUGUUCCCAAUGGAGGAUGACUGUGUGGCAGCAGUUCCACGCCAGGAUGGAGCAAGCACAGUACUCCAAGGCACCAGAGAGUUACUCCACCCCACCAUGUAGAGGAUGGCUACAUAGGUAUGUGUGGGUUCAUUCACUUAACUUAGAUGCUUAACUUGUUAUUAAAGCAUGUUGUUUCCAAUUUUAUUUGUCAAUUUAUUUUUGAGGGCAAGAAGGCAGAGGUAAGGAGAAGUUUUAGCUCUGCACAUGAAGGUAAGAAUGACCAUUUUGGUGGACACUGCGAUUUGAGUUCUGAUUGUAAAAUAACCAGAUAUUUAGGACUGAAUAAUUAACUGUCUGUCUUUACUUUCAGAACAUUUGGAGAUCAAGCGGCUGACUGAAGAGAAGGUCGAGCUGAGGGCACAGCUGGCUCUACAAUCAGGACUAUACUUCUGAUAAACGUCUGACUGAAAAGGAUGUCAGGCUGCGGGCACAGCUGCCUCUACACUCAGGAGCCAUAAGGAAGAAUCUUUCCAACCGGGAUGCCACUGAUGA
Molecule: long non-coding RNA, 2479 nt
Organism: Esox lucius (northern pike)
Lineage: Eukaryota; Metazoa; Chordata; Actinopteri; Esociformes; Esocidae
Source: Ensembl